GCUGGGCAUAGUGGCAUGCACCUGUAGUCCCAGCUACUCAGGGGGCUGAGGCAGGGGGAUCACUUGAGCCCAGGAGUUCAAGGCUGCAGUGAGCUAUGAUGGUGCCACUGCAUUCUAGCCUGGGCAACAGAGUGAAACACUGUCUCUA
RNAcentral lists this non-coding RNA (148 nucleotides) under Pan troglodytes (chimpanzee). Lineage: Eukaryota; Metazoa; Chordata; Mammalia; Primates; Hominidae. The record is from Rfam by way of RNAcentral.